AAUCAACGCUGGCGGCGUGCCUAACACAUGCAAGUCGAACGCGAAAACCCCGCAAGGGGUUAGUAGAGUGGCAAACGGGUGAGUAACGCGUGGGUGACCUGCCUUCGAGCGGGGGAUAACGUUCCGAAAGGGACGCUAAUACCGCAUAACAUCCUGCCCUUGAACGGGUGGAGAUCAAAGCUGGGGAUCGCAAGACCCGGCACUUGAAGAGGGGCCCGCGUCUGAUUAGCUAGUUGGUGAGGUAACGGCUCACCAAGGCAACGAUCAGUAUCCGGCCUGAGAGGGCGGACGGACACACUGGGACUGAGACACGGCCCAGACUCCUACGGGAGGCAGCAGUGGGGAAUUGUUCGCAAUGGGCGCAAGCCUGACGACGCAACGCCGCGUGGAGGAUGAAGA
RNAcentral lists this ribosomal RNA (399 nucleotides) under uncultured bacterium. Its description in RNAcentral is "bacterial SSU rRNA". It matches the Rfam family "Bacterial small subunit ribosomal RNA", at positions 29 to 414 of the family's 1533-position model. The record is from RNAcentral.